RNAcentral lists this ribosomal RNA (490 nucleotides) under uncultured bacterium. RNAcentral's name for it is "partial 16S ribosomal RNA". It matches the Rfam family "Bacterial small subunit ribosomal RNA", at positions 30 to 507 of the family's 1533-position model. The record is from RNAcentral.
AUUGAACGCUGGCGGCAGGCCUAACACAUGCAAGUCGAACGGUAACAGGAAGAAGCUUGCUUCUUUGCUGACGAGUGGCGGACGGGUGAGUAAUGUCUGGGAAACUGCCUGAUGGAGGGGGAUAACUACUGGAAACGGUAGCUAAUACCGCAUAAUGUCGCAAGACCAAAGAGGGGGACCUUCGGGCCUCUUGCCAUCGGAUGUGCCCAGAUGGGAUUAGCUAGUAGGUGGGGUAACGGCUCACCUAGGCGACGAUCCCUAGCUGGUCUGAGAGGAUGACCGGCCACACUGGAACUGAGACACGGUCCAGACUCCUACGGGAGGCAGCAGUGGGGAAUAUUGCACAAAGGGCGCAAGCCUGAUGCAGCUAUGCCGCGUGUAUGAAGAAGGCCUUCGGGUUGUAAAGUACUUUCAGCGGGGAGGAAGGGAGUAAAGUUAAUACCUUUGCUCAUUGACGUUACCCGCAGAAGAAGCACCGGCUAACUCCGUG